AUGUUUGCAAAUGUAUCAAAUGUUGCUAUGUUAUUCUAAUCUUCUGCUAUCUCUCUUUUUUAAACUGCUGGCAUUAUAGUUACUAGAAAAAUCAAUAAAUCAAUCAAAUUAAUUUCACUUUGCUCUGCAGACAAACUGAAGCGAUUUCCACAUCUCCUUUUUCAGGCUGCGGGACAUUAAGCUUUCAUGUUUACAAAUUGUACAGCUGUCACCUUAAAAAUAAACAGCAGCACUCAGAGUGUGCUCAGUGACAAAAUAAUGAGCUUUUCUUUUUUUUAAUGAGAUUUUUUUCCUUUUUUUUGUUGUUGUUGUUUUAUAGAUUUUUAAUCAUUAUUUUUUAUUUAUUUUAUUUUAUUUCAAGUAGUUCAGAACAAUAGUUCCCCAGGCUUUCUAAAGGUCUUCUCAUUGGACAGCGGUUCCUUUUAUACUCAUUUUCCUGAGAAUACUUAAAGUGCCGAUAACAUUUCAUGCUGUGCUAAAGAAUAAAGGUGGUCAUACCAAAUAUUAACUUUCAAGCUCAUUCAAAUCAAAAUACAAAAUAAAUGUUUUUACCUUGUAGAAGUAUUAAUGGUAACCUUUUCCAGGUAGUUAGAAAUACUCUCUAAAUAAUAAUGUGCAUGUGCUCACAUGAGUCCACCAGUACAUCUUUUACAUAUCUGUCUCUGUGUGUUCAAGGUGCUACUGGUUGUGCGGGCCCACCAGUUCUAUGUUGCGCUGGUCGGAACAGCUCCUGUAACAGAGAGUGUUUCUGUGACGAGGAUUGUGUGGAAUCGGGUGACUGCUGUCCUGACUAUAGUUCAACCUGUGGACAAUCAUCCACCGUUUCACCAACACUUUCUUCCGUCUCUACUAAGCCAACUACAGCGAUUGUUCGCCUAAAGGUUAAUUUUCAAUGUCGUUCUGAAGUCCAAGAACAAGCAAUUUUAGAAAUUUCAUCUUUUCUUCAGGGACGUUUCCAGGAGAGCUGUAAGGGCUGCGCAGUGAAGGUCAAACCCGUGUGAGGAUUUGGGCAAUGAAAGCGUGAUUUUUGGAUAAAACGACACCGUGAUGACAGACUCCAACACUCAUCUGCUAAAUAUAAAUAAGCUAUUAAAAGCUAAUAAAGUUAACUGACUAUUUCAGAAUUAAUAAAGCACUCUAUGUUUGCAUUCAUGUAGCAGCAUCUACAUCCUUCUGAGCUCUUAUUUAGUUUUUAUUUUAAACUCAAUCAAAGAAAACAUUUAUAGCACAUGUGCUUUGUUUGAUUCACUCUUUUCUGUUUUUUUCAUAAUAAAAGUCACAGGGUUUACUCUUUACUAACUAUUGUCAAGAUCCAACGCUGAGUUGACAGGUUCUUUUUCACAUUAAAAACAUAGAGGAAUGUUUUACACAGAUGUGAAUGUUGACCAUAUAUUUAGAUUAUAAGGGUUUUUAACAGAUUUCACUUCACUUCCAAUUUUAUGGGAAAAAUCUAGAAAAAAUGAAGAAAUUCUCACAAUUAUCUGGCAGAAAAAUAAUUCACCGUACAAAUCCAGUCUGCUGUGGUCAAGGAAAUAGCCACACUUACUAAGAUAUGAUACUCUGAAACAUGCCUGUGCUGCUGAGGCUUGGCUUUAGUGCUGUUAGAAUAUAAUUACAUUAAACCCACAUGUAAUAUAUCAUUCAUUUGAACUUCAUUUGAAAAUCAAUGACAUUAAUGACUUAGCCUCUAUUUCUGCCAUGAUUAAUGUAAUCUUGCAUAAUUAUAAACACAUUCAUUGUAGCAAAUAAACAAAUAGAAAUCAUUUUUUUUGUUCAGAUGUUUUCAUAUUUCAUAAUGUAUAUUCCACUGUGUUAAAUAGAUUGGUUUAAUUGAUUUGUGC
Long non-coding RNA from Astatotilapia calliptera (eastern happy), 1841 nucleotides. The record is from Ensembl. NCBI's taxonomy places the organism in Eukaryota, Metazoa, Chordata, Actinopteri, Cichliformes, Cichlidae.